RNAcentral lists this ribosomal RNA (471 nucleotides) under uncultured bacterium. Its description in RNAcentral is "bacterial SSU rRNA". It matches the Rfam family "Bacterial small subunit ribosomal RNA", at positions 28 to 517 of the family's 1533-position model. The record is from RNAcentral.
GAUGAACGCUGGCGGCGUGCUUAACACAUGCAAGUCGAACGUGAAGAAGCAGCAAUGUUUCUGAAAGUGGCGGACGGGUGAGUAACACGUGGGUGACCUGCCUUGCAGAGGGGGAUAACGAGGGGAAACCUUCGCUAAUACCGCAUAGGCUUACACCGAUGGGAAUGGUGUGGGUAAAACUGAGGUGCUGCAAGAGGGGCCUGCGUCCGAUUAGCUAGUUGGUGAGGUAAUGGCUCACCAAGGCGAUGAUCGGUAGCUGGUCUGAGAGGACGAUCAGCCACACGGGAACUGAGAAACGGUCCCGACUCCUACGGGGGGCAGCAGUGAGGAAUAUUGGGCAAUGGACGAAAGUCUGACCCAGCAACGCCGCGUGGAGGAUGAAGGUUUUUGGAUGUAAACUACCUUUUGUUGGGGAAGAGUGAGGACGGUACCCCAACGAAUAAGUCACGGCUAACUACGUGCCAGCAGCCG